AGAGUUUGAUCCUGGCUCAGGAUGAACGCUAGCGGCAGGCUUAACACAUGCAAGUCGAGGGGCAGCGAGGGUAGCAAUACCUGUCGGCGACCGGCGCAAGGGUGCGUAACGCGUGAGCAACAUGCCCGUAUCAGGGGGAUAAUCCAGGGAAAAUUGGUCUAAUACCGCAUAAUAAUCAUUUGGGGCAUCUUGGAUGAUUUAAAAUUUCGAUGGAUACGGAUUGGCUCGCGUGACAUUAGCUGGAUGGAGAGGUAACGGCUCACCAUGGCUACGAUGUCUAGGGGUUCUGAGAGGAAGGUCCCCCACACUGGAACUGAGACACGGUCCAGACUCCUACGGGAGGCAGCAGUGAGGAAUAUUGGACAAUGGAUGGAAAUCUGAUCCAGCCAUGCCGCGUGCAGGAAGACGGCCCUAUGGGUUGUAAACUGCUUUUGUAUGGGAGCAAUAAGGGCUACGUGUAGCCUGAUGAGAGUACCAUACGAAUAAGGACCGGCUAACUCCGUGCCAGCAGCCGCGGUAAUACGGAGGGUCCGAGCGUUAUCCGGAUUUAUUGGGUUUAAAGGGUGCGUAGGCGGUUUUAUAAGUCAGCGGUGAAAUUUUCCGGCUCAACCGGGAUACUGCCGUUGAUACUGUAAGGCUAGGAUAUGGUUGCUGUGGGUGGAAUGUGUGGUGUAGCGGUGAAAUGCUUAGAGAUCACACAGAAUAUCGAUUGCGAAGGCAGCUCACAAAGCCAUUAUUGACGCUGAGGCACGAAAGUGUGGGGAUCAAACAGGAUUAGAUACCCUGGUAGUCG
Molecule: ribosomal RNA, 793 nt
Filed under: uncultured bacterium
Lineage: Bacteria
Description: bacterial SSU rRNA
Rfam family: Bacterial small subunit ribosomal RNA
Source: RNAcentral